This 77-nucleotide transfer RNA is filed under the name bacterium. RNAcentral's name for it is "tRNA-Arg". It matches the Rfam family "tRNA". Rfam says of the family: Transfer RNA (tRNA) molecules are approximately 80 nucleotides in length. Their secondary structure includes four short double-helical elements and three loops (D, anti-codon, and T loops). The record is from RNAcentral. RNAcentral also lists the same sequence under 1 other name.
GUGCCCGUAGCUCAGUAGGAUAGAGCAACGGAUUUCUAAUCCGUAGGUCGCAGGUUCGAAUCCUGCCGGGCACACCA